CGGAACGUACCCAAAAGUGGGGGAUAACGUAGCGAAAGUUACGCUAAUACCGCAUACGAUCUAUGGAUGAAAGCGGGGGACCUUCGGGCCUUGUGCUCCUGGAGCGGCCGAUAUCUGAUUAUCUAGUUGGUGAGGUAAAGGCCCACCAAGGCGACCAUCAGUAACUGGUCUGAGAGGACCACCAACCACACUGGAACUGACACACGGUCCAAACUCCUACGGAAGGCAACAGUGGGGAAUUUUGGACAAUGGGCGCAAGCCUGAUCCAGCAAUGCCGCGUGAGUGAACAAGGCCUUCGGGUUGUAAAGCUCUUUUGUCAUGGAAUAAA
This 328-nucleotide ribosomal RNA is filed under the name Massilia sp. RNAcentral's name for it is "bacterial SSU rRNA". It matches the Rfam family "Bacterial small subunit ribosomal RNA", at positions 119 to 450 of the family's 1533-position model. Lineage: Bacteria; Pseudomonadati; Pseudomonadota; Betaproteobacteria; Burkholderiales; Oxalobacteraceae. The record is from RNAcentral.